This 253-nucleotide ribosomal RNA is filed under the name uncultured bacterium. Its description in RNAcentral is "partial 16S ribosomal RNA". It matches the Rfam family "Bacterial small subunit ribosomal RNA", at positions 524 to 776 of the family's 1533-position model. The record is from RNAcentral.
UACGAACCGUGCAAACGUUAUUCGGAAUCACUGGGCAUAAAGGGCGCGUAGGCGGCUUCAUAAGUCAGGGGUGAAAUCCGGCAGCUUAACUGUCGCAGUGCCUUUGAUACUGUGGAGCUCGAGGGAGGUAGGGGUCUGUGGAACUUCCGGUGGAGCGGUGAAAUGCGUUGAUAUCGGAAGGAACGCCGGUGGCGAAAGCGACGGACUGGAUCUCUUCUGACGCUGAGGCGCGAAAGCCAGGGGAGCAAACGGG